Molecule: ribosomal RNA, 499 nt
Filed under: uncultured bacterium
Lineage: Bacteria
Description: partial 16S ribosomal RNA
Rfam family: Bacterial small subunit ribosomal RNA
Source: RNAcentral
GACGAACGCUGGCGGCGUGCUUAGCACAUGCAAGUCGAACGGGCCUGUCUUCUUUUUUGGGGGUGGGUUGAGUGGCGAACGGGUGAGUAUCACGUGAGUAACCUGCCCUUCGGUCCUGGAUAACCGCUUGAAAGGGCGGCUAAUACGGGGUGGUCCGGUUGGUCCGCAUGGGCUGGUCGGGAUAGAUUCACUGUUUUUGGUGUUUCGGCGGGGGAUGGGCUCGCGGCCUAUCAGCUUGUUGGUGGGGUGAUGGCCUACCAAGGCGGUGACGGGUAGCCGGCCUGAGAGGGUGGGCGGCCACACUGGGACUGAGAUACGGCCCAGACUCCUGCGGGAGGCAGCAGUGGGGGGUAUUGCACAAUGGGCGGAAGCCUGAUGCAGCGACGUCGCGUGAGGGAUGGAGGCCUUCGGGUCGUGAACCUCUGUUUCCGGUGGUGAAGGCCCUGUCCGUGUGGUGGGGUUGACGGUAGCCGGGGAUGAAGCGCCGGCUAACUACGUG